Priapulus caudatus is the source of this 2057-nucleotide long non-coding RNA. RefSeq lists it as uncharacterized. The record is from RefSeq and is a predicted model, not a curated record. NCBI's taxonomy places the organism in Eukaryota, Metazoa, Priapulida, Priapulimorpha, Priapulimorphida, Priapulidae. The transcript has 2 exons.
UGUGCUGAGAACAUUGGGGUAUGCUGAGAACAUUGGGGUAUGCUGAGAACAUUGAGGUAUGCUGAGAACAUCAAGGUGUGCUGAGAACUUCGAUGUGUGCUGAGAACAUCAAGGUGUGCUGAGAACAUCGCAGUGGAUUGAUAACAUCAAGAUAGACUGAGAACACCCACAAUGUACUAAGAACAUCGAAGUGGACAGAUAAUGUUGACCUCAUUGUGAAUGUAAAACCAUCAACGCAGGCAAGCACGCACGCACGCACACACGCGCACGCAAGCACACGCAAGCACGCAAGCACACGCGCGCAUGCAAGCACGCACGCACGCACACACGCGCACGCAAGCACACGCGCACGCAAGCACACGCGCACGCAAGCACACGCGUGCAUAUACGCCUCCCGCUUGAGUGUUAGGUUUAUCACUACGCGCGGGUAAACAGAAUUUUCUGUGAUGUAUUUUAACGGCACUCGAAAACGGUAACGGAACCGACUUUUCAGCACCAUCACAACUUACCAGUAGAUUUACCUUAUUAAAACUGCCCCCGUCGCAUCUCUCAGAGUCAAACUGCUACUGAGUUUAGAGUUCCUUUUCCUUAGCUCGUAUGAUUCUAAACGUAAUAUUUAGUUUGUGAAUUCUACUAAUGUAUAAGGUAUUAAUUUGUAGGAGAGAGUGAAUUAUAUAUAUAUAUGAUAAAUAAAUAUUUGAAUGAUGUUAUAUAGCCUAGAAUCAAAGCACGAGGGACGAGAAAGGAAGAAAGAGUGCGUGUUGUGCGUGCGUGCGUGCGUGCGUGCGUGCGUGCGGGCGGGCGGGCGUGCGUGCGUGCUGGUGUGUCUGCGUGUGAGAGAAAGAGAGAGAGAGAGAGAGAGCUAGAGAGAGAGAGAGAGAGCGCUGCGGGACACGACGUACGAGCGUACGUGCGAGAGACACUUCACUGAGGCUAUUAAGGAAAUGCGUAGCCUAUCUGGCUCUCAGUCGAAAAUUUACCUGAAUUACAAACAAACAAUUACCGAACCUACAAUUAAAGGGCAAACAUGUAGGGGCAUAAAACACUUUUCAAGUAGAACCGAACGCAUUUCGAUUACCUUCGUAAUAAGGCAGCGUAAUAAAAUAAUUUCUUGUCCUUUUGUCGAGCGCCGUUAAUUAACAAAUAAUUAGGUCCGUGUUUUUUUUAUUAGAUUAUAUGUCAUCGAUCGAGCAAGGAGCACGAGGGACGAGAAAGGAAGAAAGAGUGCGCGCGUGCGUGCGUGCGGGUGUGUAUGUGAGAGAGAGAGAGAGAGAGAGAGAGAGAGAGAGAGAGCUGCGGGACACUGGAAGGGCAGGGGAGCUGGAGCGAUCGACAAAAAAAAAUAGCAUAAAUGUUAGGGUGAGUGGUUUGUGCGCGCGUGCAUGCGUGUGUGCGUUUGCGUGUACGAGCGUACGUGCGAGAGACACUUCACUGAGGCUAUUAAGGAAAUGCGUAGCCUAUCUGCAUGGCUCUCAGUCGAAAAUUUAGUCACGAAUAUAUUUUGAAGUUUGCAUAUAAAUAUUGAUAACUAAACUAUAUACGUCAUCGUGCCUGUAUACAUAUUGCUUACAAAACAAGAUGUAUAAAAUUCUAAGCGUUGAGAAUUAUUUUAUCCGACACCACAGGGUUUAUGUUUACGCAUGUCUGAUAUUGUGGGAGUAUGUAUAAUCCUGAUCGUAUUCUAUGGCCUAUAUACACGCGUACUAGUUAGCAUGUUGCAAAUUGGAGCGUGAUUAAUUAUGUACUUCGCUAUUAUUGUAAUUAAAUGAGACCAAGGUGAAAUGUUGGUGCCAUGUUUUCAUUUGUGUUUCUACUGAAAAGUCGCUCUGCACAAUAUCAUGACUGAGUUACAAAGUUUGCUCUCUGUACAGGUUAAUAUAUGAAAUAUGAAAUUUUACUCGGAAUUUUAUGUUGGUCACUGCAUGUGCACGGAAAAACGGCAAAAUUAAGUCGUCUGUAAUUUUGCUGUUUUGUACUAAAAAUAGCAUUUAUUUGUAUAUGAAGGCUGUAGUGCUGUUUAUGCUUGGUUCUUUAAAAAAAAACACUAUUUGAAAUCA